This 477-nucleotide ribosomal RNA is filed under the name uncultured bacterium. Its description in RNAcentral is "bacterial SSU rRNA". It matches the Rfam family "Bacterial small subunit ribosomal RNA", at positions 30 to 502 of the family's 1533-position model. The record is from RNAcentral.
AUUGAACGCUGGCGGCAUGCUUUACACAUGCAAGUCGAACGGUAACAGGUCUUCGGAUGCUGACGAGUGGCGAACGGGUGAGUAAUGCAUCGGAACGUGCCCAGUCGUGGGGGAUAACGCAGCGAAAGCUGUGCUAAUACCGCAUACGAUCUAUGGAUGAAAAGCGGGGGACCGUAAGGCCUCGCGCGAUUGGAGCGGCCGAUGUCAGAUUAGCUAGUUGGUGGGGUAAAGGCCCACCAAGGCGACGAUCUGUAGCUGGUCUGAGAGGACGACCAGCCACACUGGGACUGAGACACGGCCCAGACUCCUACGGGAGGCAGCAGUGGGGAAUUUUGGACAAUGGGCGCAAGCCUGAUCCAGCAAUGCCGCGUGCAGGAAGAAGGCCUCGGUUGUAAGCUCUUUGUUCAGGGAAGAAACAAGACAGCUCUAACACAGUCUGCGAAUGACGGUACCUGAAGAAUAAGACACCGGCUAACU